CAAAGGCUAGUAAUAACUCAAUGACAAUCACAACAAAGGUAGAAGUUUAAGGAAGAAAUUAGCGAGGUAGACAAGUAGAAGAAGCAGAGGCCGAAAUCUUACAAAAAGAAGUAAAAAGAGGUGCACAUGGGUUGGGCAAUGAGCAAUACUAAAACAUUUAGGUUGCUUCAAAUGGCCCAAUUAACAUUUGGGCCCUGUCAUCUCGAUUAUGGUGUUAAAAUUUCG
Molecule: long non-coding RNA, 225 nt
Filed under: Olea europaea (common olive)
Lineage: Eukaryota; Viridiplantae; Streptophyta; Magnoliopsida; Lamiales; Oleaceae
Description: long non-coding RNA (OEUR_LNC013348)
Source: RNAcentral